This 1321-nucleotide long non-coding RNA is filed under the name Felis catus (domestic cat). RNAcentral's name for it is "lncRNA (ENSFCAG00000049490.1)". The record is from RNAcentral. Lineage: Eukaryota; Metazoa; Chordata; Mammalia; Carnivora; Felidae.
AUGGGCUACCGGGUAAUCUAUGUUUCUUUCCCUUUAAUGAAGCUGCGACUGAAAGAAUGGGAGCAGGUGAAAGGGGAGAAGCAGCUGUCGGCCACAGAGGAGAAACUGAAAUUAGCUGCAGAAGAGCUGUGGAACUACAAGGCUCAUGAUCAGGAGAGGGCAGUGGCAGAGCAGAGCAAGGAGGUGGCCUACUUGAAGUGCAGACUGGAAGUCAUCCAAAGACAGAGAGGCUUCCAGAGGAAUUCAGGAGGCACAAACCAAUGGCAAGAGGACCUGACAGGGAGAUCCCUCCAUGGAGAGAACCUGGUGCAGCUUCUGUGAGGAACAAGAAUUCUGUCCCUACUAUGGGCACAGAGAAGGUCAAAGGAAAUGAUGUGACAAUUUUCAGUUGUAAGUCUCUCUCUGGAAUCUUUUGUCUCUUUAUACAGCACUCUCUCCUGGUCUUGUCUCAAGAUUGUGUGUUCUGACAUAUAUCUAUGGUGUUAUUUACUUUACAAAGAGUAAAACUCUUUCCCAAGAGCCUAUGGGCCUCUCUGUUCUUAGCUUGUUGGUCAUCUUUGGUGGUGCCUCCAGAAGUCAUAAGUGUUUAGAGGCUGAGGACCACAGGGAAGUCACUGUGUGUUUGUGGAAAUAUCAUGAGGAGGAUGACAUCUCACUGCACACUUACGUCUCCUGGCCUGGCUCACUUCUUCCAGACCUCCUUUCAUGGGAAUGUUCCUGAAAACUGAAACAGUAGUGUUGUUGUUCUUUUACUCCUUUUCUAUCCAGAGUUAGUCGCCAACCUGUUUAGAACAUCGAUUGUAAUUCUCACUAACUUUCUGAGAGGUGCGUAGCAAUUUUGAAUGCUCUUAUUCGAAGGUUAUUUUUUUCUAAAUUUCAUAAUUCAUCAGUUUUCCCAUCUCUUUUGGGAAAUGUGCUUUUGCAGAGUCAUUGCAGCUGUUCAGUUAGUAAAAAUAUUGUGAAUUAUCAGGGAAGACACAUUUGCAGUAGAAAAUGUACACUGGAACUGAAGGAACAGAGAGUGAAAGUCAGGUCUGAUGUGCCAGUUUCCGGAAAAGAGCUGAAGCCAUGUUCAUGUAACCAGGUUCUUUUAUGGCCUCUGUAGCUGUUAUAGCUGGCAUCUUCUAUUCAUACCUUAACUGUCUUUUCCAUUUUGAUAUCAGAACAUAUUCAUUUUAAUUCUGUCAUUUCAAAUUCCAAAAUAUUUUUCCAUGGGAAAAAAUGAGUCUGUGUGUCACAGUGUAUGUAAAAAUUCGGCAUUACCUGUGAAUUCACAUAUUAUCUAUAACUUUUCCUAACUAACUCCUGUAGGUGGCACUGU